UACGGAGGGUCCGAGCGUUAUCCGGAAUCAUUGGGUUUAAAGGGUGCGCAGGCGGUAAAGUAAGUCAGUGGUGAAAUCCCUUCGCUCAACGAAGGAACUGCCAUUGAUACUGCUAUACUUGAAUAUAGUCGAAGUAGGCGGAAUGUGACAUGUAGCGGUGAAAUGCUUAGAUAUGUCACAGAACACCGAUAGCGAAGGCAGCUUACUAGACUAACAUUGACGCUCAUGCACGAAAGCGUGGGGAGCGAACAGG
This 253-nucleotide ribosomal RNA is filed under the name uncultured bacterium. RNAcentral describes it as "partial 16S ribosomal RNA". It matches the Rfam family "Bacterial small subunit ribosomal RNA", at positions 524 to 776 of the family's 1533-position model. The record is from RNAcentral.